Zygosaccharomyces rouxii is the source of this 100-nucleotide non-coding RNA. The record is from Rfam. NCBI's taxonomy places the organism in Eukaryota, Fungi, Ascomycota, Saccharomycetes, Saccharomycetales, Saccharomycetaceae.
GUCCCGGUGGCCGAGUGGUUAAGGCGAUGCCCUGCUAUUAAUCAAGAUAGCAAUUAGGCAUUGGGCUAUGCCUUCGCAGGUUCGAAUCCUGUCCGUGACG